UUGAAGAGACAAUGUGAGACUUCCUUUUC
Molecule: non-coding RNA, 29 nt
Filed under: Rattus norvegicus (Norway rat)
Lineage: Eukaryota; Metazoa; Chordata; Mammalia; Rodentia; Muridae
Source: RNAcentral